GCAGUCGUGGCCGACUGUUAAGGCGAUGAACUAGAAAGCGAGUGGGGUCUUCCCGCACAGGUUCGAAUCCUGUCGACUGCG
Molecule: non-coding RNA, 81 nt
Organism: Ixodes scapularis (black-legged tick)
Lineage: Eukaryota; Metazoa; Arthropoda; Arachnida; Ixodida; Ixodidae
Source: Rfam